UACGUAGGUGGCAAGCGUUGUCCGGAUUUACUGGGCGUAAAGAGCGUGUAGGCGGCCCGGUAAGUCCGCUGUGAAAGUCCAGGGCUCAACCCUGGGAUGCCGGUGGAAACUGUCGGGCUAGAGUCCGGAAGAGGCGAGUGGAAUUCCUGGUGUAGCGGUGAAAUGCGCAGAUAUCAGGAGGAACACCAAUGGCGAAGGCAGCUCGCUGGGACGGUACUGACGCUGAGACGCGAAAGCGUGGGGAGCAAACAGG
This 253-nucleotide ribosomal RNA is filed under the name uncultured bacterium. Its description in RNAcentral is "partial 16S ribosomal RNA". It matches the Rfam family "Bacterial small subunit ribosomal RNA", at positions 524 to 776 of the family's 1533-position model. The record is from RNAcentral.